This is a long non-coding RNA of Bicyclus anynana (squinting bush brown), 1555 nucleotides long. RefSeq lists it as uncharacterized. The transcript has 2 exons. The record is from RefSeq and is a predicted model, not a curated record. Lineage: Eukaryota; Metazoa; Arthropoda; Insecta; Lepidoptera; Nymphalidae.
UGCCGACACACGCGUGACGCGCCCGUAGCUGUCAUUCACCGGCGCAGAAUGGAAAAGAGAUCUGUAAUCCUUGCGCAAGUGGUCGCCCUACAGCCGGCAUUACCGGCAGUUAGUAUGCGCCGCCCGGCGCGCCUCCCGCAGUCGCCUCACGUACCUAAUUGUGCUGUGCUGUCGACGCACCACGACACGACGGUUCGCACUCCGCGAGGGAAAUGUCUGCUCCUCCGACGAGCUCAUGACGUCGAUCACGACACUUACGACGAGUUACGACGAGGGCCACUCCGCGAGUUACGACGAAGGGCCUCGCCGCGAUUUAUUUAACGAAGGCGGCGACAAAUCUCGGAAAGGAAACUUUCAGAUAAAUAGCGCAAUAAAGAGGCAACGAUUUAUAUCGGCGGUUUAAACGUAUUAGAUCGCCAUUAAGUAUAUUUUAUUAAUGAUGCUUGUGAUUGCGGCGCAGCCACGAUACUUUAUGGGCCCCGGCGCUCCGAGUGACGCGAGCUAUUCAUCUGAUUAUUGCGCGCACUACAACCGAAUUAGAUGAAACUAAAAGUAAAUAUUAUAGGUUACGUGCAGAUUUAGGUCCUAUUUAGAUUUUUAAUUUAUUAAAGAGAAAGUAUAAAUCAAAAUCACACACAUGAAAACAUUAUCUUCUCCAACCCCAGAUCUAUUGUGUUACUGAAUAGGCGCGCAUGGAAGCCUCAUUUCUUUCGAGUUUUAAUAAUAGAACAACUGACGAUAUUGUUAGAUGAAAACUUUGAUUAAGCAGUGUGUGCUUUGCUUUCUAACUAAGAGGCUUUAGAUUGGCUGAACUCCGGUGCGACUUCUUGUCAAAACGCUAUUAUAAAUAAUCAUCAUACCUACCUACCUGAAUUUCUUCCGUUACGAUGCAAUGUAAAACGAACUUACCUAUCAGUUUUAAACUAAUAUAUAUUUUCUGUGAUUAAUCUAGAAGUUUACCAUCUCGGACCGCAUCACGCCACUCUAAUAAAUAAGUCAGACUAAAUUGCGGAGAACUCUUUCUCGACAUACAACAGACAGACAGACAUUCAUUACAGUAACGUCGUUGAAGUUAUAAAUACUUGGACGCGGCAAUCACGUGCACCUGCAAUAAUAUUGUAAAGCUGUAUGUACGCAGCAAUCAAAUUAAAACCAUUUGAAGUGUAAAUACCGAGGCGGUUUCCACGACUAAACGGAUUAUAGAUGCAUUCAGUUCGCGCGGGGGGCGGCGCGGGGGGCGGGGGGAGCUCCACAGACGCGUAUAAAUUGCCAACUACCCGACGGAGAUGGAUUGGCGAGCUAUGCGCCGCAGCCGGCUUCCCACUGCACCCACACGACACGAGAAAUACUAAAAACUGAAAUUCACACGAAGAGUCUGAUGUUUACGAUGGUUUGUGGAGAACAUUUUCAAACGUUCUGCAGAGAGUGUGAGAAUGCCGUUUUCCUUAGAAUCUUGUAUAUAGGUACAUCAGUGUACGUCCACGUUUAAUGUUGUUGAAGUAAAAAGCUUAUUCUUUUUACGUAGAUUUAACCUUAAUAAAGACCUCUUGAAGAA